RNAcentral lists this ribosomal RNA (479 nucleotides) under uncultured bacterium. RNAcentral's name for it is "bacterial SSU rRNA". It matches the Rfam family "Bacterial small subunit ribosomal RNA", at positions 151 to 624 of the family's 1533-position model. The record is from RNAcentral.
UCGAAAGGUGUGCUACUACCGCAUAAUCUCUGAGGAGAAAAGCAGGGGAUUCGCAAGGACCUUGCGCUUUGGAGCGGCCGAUGUCUGAUUAGCUAGUUGGUGAGGUAAAGGCUCACCAAGGCAUCGAUCAGUAGCUGGUCUGAGAGGACGACCAGCCACACUGGGACUGAGACACGGCCCAGACUCCUACGGGAGGCAGCAGUGGGGAGUUUUGGACAAUGGGGGCAACCCUGAUCCAGCCAUGCCGCGUGAGUGAAGAAGGCUUUCGGGUUGUAAAGCUCUUUCAGCCGGAACGAAACGGUCACGGCCAAUACCCGUGACUAAUGACGGUACCGGAAGAAGAAGCACCGGCUAACUAUGUGCCAGCAGCCGCGGUAAUACGUAGGGUGCGAGCGUUAAUCGGAAUUACUGGGCGUAAAGCGUGCGCAGGCGGUGUUGUAAGUCAGAUGUGAAAGCCCCGGGCUUAACCUGGGAACUGC